This 840-nucleotide long non-coding RNA is filed under the name Heterocephalus glaber (naked mole-rat). RNAcentral's name for it is "lncRNA (ENSHGLG00000039850.1)". The record is from RNAcentral. Lineage: Eukaryota; Metazoa; Chordata; Mammalia; Rodentia; Bathyergidae.
AGCAAAUACAUGUAUGUCCUUGGCAGCACACUGACCGCCACUUGAAAGCUCCGAGGAGCUCGAGCUGUGCCUAAUGAGUCGCAGCUCGUGACGUCAUCACUUGGCGCUGCCACUCCUUUCCGAGCAUGUGCAUGGCCUCUGUGGGUGCUGCUCUGAUGCUCGGCUUGGUUUGCAUGCUGACAGAGAGGGCUCUGCAUGACAUAGGUUUGCCAUCACUAUGCUAAGGUGUGCUGCACCCACUGGAGAGGGCACCUGCUGUCUGGUGAGCUCUGAGUGUUUACCAACACCGUUACAGCGGGACUGCAGGGAUGUGGCAGGGUGCUGUGAGGACAGGCUGGGAAGAGCAGGCGUAAUAAUCCAUACAGGGAAGAUGACAGUAAUUGGGAGAAGCCACUAGCACUGGCCACAGCUUUAAGGGUGCCCGAAGCCUGAGGACGCACCCUUGGGUACCGGGCACACCUGCUGUGGGGCUGACACGUGGCUCCUUCAGUUUUACCAAGACGUGAUGGAAACUUGGUUGACAACGUGUUGUGUUCUGAGAAGAAUGAGGCCACCUGAUGCAAAAGUGGACGCGGGAUCAAACUGGGAAGAAAUCUUUCAUGUCAGUUUUCUGAGACUAUUCAUACUCAUCUGUGUCACGGUAACAGCAUAUCUCAUCUUAAAAGUGAAAUGCUAAGUGUCUGAGGAACAGGUUGUACUGCUCAAUGACCAGGGUAAUCAGCACGAACCUAACAUUUAUCCUGAUAAUAACCAGUGAAUGUGCAAAGGGGAAGAGACAGACUUACUGCAUCCAUGAAAACACCGUGUCCCUCUUUAACAUUUAUAAUAUCUAUAUAUAGC